GUACUUGCUUUGGCAGCACAUAUACUAAAAUUGGACCGAUAUAAAGAAGAUUAACAUGGCCCCUGCGCAAGGAUGACACGCAAAUUCGUAAAGCGUUCCAUAUUUAA
Small nuclear RNA from Suncus etruscus (white-toothed pygmy shrew), 107 nucleotides. The record is from RefSeq and is a predicted model, not a curated record. NCBI's taxonomy places the organism in Eukaryota, Metazoa, Chordata, Mammalia, Eulipotyphla, Soricidae.